CUUGAGGCCGGAAGCAGAGAAUUCCCCAGAACAGAUUGAAUUCUGGCUUUGUCUUAAUGAACGUCAAUAUUUAUUACCAAAGGCGGUGUGCUUCUUGGAGUGAUAGAGCAUUUCACCAUUUCAGCCCUCGCCUGUUGCCUUCCCAGGUACCAAAUGCUAUGUAAUUGCGGCUCAUAAAGGCAGCAGACAAUAUUGCCAAGGAAACUCACUCCUGGCUGUAAAUCUUCAUAAUCAAACCCAGCAGAGCUUUGCUUUCUGGUUUGGACAGAGUGUCCCUGAGGGCAGGGCCCACCCAGGUUUUCUAGUCCUCCUUCCUUGGCAGGGAGACCCCCAACACCCUCUGGUGAGGCAGGGGCUCCUGCUGGGAUUGGGGAUGAGGGCGCCAGCCAGCAAGGGCUGGAGAGGCCAAGAAGUGACAGAAGUUACUGUCCCCACCCCAAUGCAGAGCUGAGAGAGGCAGACAAUCACUCAGAAAUCUGGAAGGGCCCUGAGAGGUUAUUCCAUCCAACCUUCUUGCUCUGCAAAUGAGGAAGUGAGGCUCAGAGAGGUGGUUUUUGCAAGGUCACACGGCUCCCAGGCCAGGGCUCUUCCUAUUUGGCCACACCAUCUCCUGGGGGUUAAAGCGUGAGCUCAAAAGAACGCCCUGAGCUGGUUCCUCCUGCAAGGGUGAGUGGCUCCCAGCUGGAGAUUUUCCUCGACUCCUGUUCUGAGGAGGACUGGCCAGGCAUGUUGUAAAACGACCCUCAGAUGUGAUCUGUCUGAUGCUUUUCUCCUGGUUAGCCUGGAGUUCUGGGUUUGGGGGAGGAAGACCACAGAGGCAAAGUGCCAUUUUCAUCACGUCACAUCACUGGUGUAUCACAGCACUGGCCAUUGUUAGAAUCCACAUGUGUGAAGCCAGCUCCAGAGCUCUCUGAUGAUGGGGCUACAUCCCUUCCCAGCAUCUGCUUGCUUCCACACAUGCAGGUGCCAUCUCUCUCCCGUCUCUCCUGAUUCCAGAUCAUCUGACCCUGAUUCCCCAAAUGAAGCCCCUGUCCAAAAUUGGUCCCAUGGCUACUCAGAUUGUAUGAGGACCCACAAAGAAAUUUCUCCUUUCAAGGCAUUUCAAGAUAAAGGAAGCUCAUGAAAAGUUCCAGAUAAAGAUGCAGGAUGCUGAAGAAUCAAUAACAUUUAUUGAGUGCUUACUAAGUGCCAGACACUGUUCUAAAUGUUUUACAUGCAAAGCUUACUUAACAGGGAGAAGGUCCUGCUGCCGGGACAGCCAAGCCCCCAUAGGCCGCUCCACAUACUUAUGUGCAGGCUGACAAAAUGCAAGAAGGUACCUGUGCAAACAUGGCUUUUAAUCAUGGUCAGGAAGACACGUGACCACUGGGUCUAUUUCAAUGACUUCAUCCAUUCUGCUCAACCUCCUGACUCUGCCCCUAUUGCUAUUUUGACAUUCAUUCACAUACUAGCCAAAGCCUUCCUGUCCCCACUACCUCGAUGUAGGCUGCAGCUGGAUAAGCCAUCACUUACACCCAUUUUCUGGAAAGCUCUUCUUUGGGCAAGUGCUCAUUGAGUUUCUGAGAAAAGCUGCCAUGGGGGCCAACGUACCACCUAGGGAAGAAACCCAUCAGCAAGGACAGGCUCGGAGCUCCCCAGAACAGUGUCUGAUUGUCAUAAUGUCAUGUUGGAGAAACGAUAACCGUACCCUGCUUAAAGAGAAACCUCUUGCGUGUCACCAACAAUCAUGCAAACUAGACUCUUAAAAUGAGAUUAGGUCAAAGUACAACCAAUCAAAGCGGGAGUCUCAGUUGCUCUAUGACUUCAUUUAAAGUUUCAGUGCCAGCAGGAAGAAGAAAGAAAUCAAUAUUACAUUUUCUUCAUCAUCAAUUUUGCUUUUUGCUAAAUGAAAAUGCUUUCAUUCCCUCCCUGGUUCCUUCCACCAUGGAAGAUGUUCCUUGUCUCCCCCCAACUCUCCCCCGUUACUAUCUUCACCCCCAUCCUGUACUGCCAUGUAGGACAGUGCCGUACGUAUGCCUUUUUGGACUAAGCACUUAAGAGUAUUGCAGAGGAUGUCAUCUUAAUUCACCAAAGAUUUGCGAGUAUGACAGUCCUCGCUCAGCUGGCCUUCCUGCUGCAGCUGGGCUCUGACCGUGUUCUGCUCUAUGGAUGGAGCAUGGAUAACUUACUCCAAACAGCUCUUGAGGCCCCAAGGGCACAUCCCCCCUCAAUGCCCUGUGCCAGGCUGUAGUACCAGACCCUGUAGAAGGGAAUUUGAUAGGCAAGGUGAGCCCUUCUUGGAUUCAUUCACGGGCUUGGGUUACAGAAGCAGCAAAGGGACCUCAUUAUAAGAUGUUCUCACCUGCUCCGUUACAGAAGAACUGUAAGGCUUUUGCUGAACAACACAGUGGUCUCGUUCCCACAGUGGUCCCCACAGCAGUGGCCUUCAAGGGCUCUCAACCAGCUCCCACUCUAUUGGCGCUAAGAUGGUCCCAAUCCAGGACUUGACUCACUCGGCAGUAUUUGCGAAGAGAGACAAACAAGAAUUUUGCAAUAGAGGAAGGAAAAAUAAUACAAGUCCACGGGGCUGGAAACUCAUUUCCUGAGGAGUAGAAACACAUCGCAUGCUCUCUGGGACUCACCGAGCUCCAGGAAGCUCGACCAGUCACUUAAUAAGUCAUUGAGGACGUGUGGUUUAAUUAACUCGCCCAAAAUUCCUCCUUUCCCUUUCUCACUUUUGCUAUUAAUAUUUUUCGAUAUCUGAUAAUGCAGUGUAGUUAAUUCUUUCUGGCUUUAUAAUGAACACUGCCAUAAUGAAAAGGUUAGCAGUGCUUCAGGCAGCUUUUAAUUAUCCAGCCGAGCAGGUAAAAGCACUUUAUUCUUCUCUUUUUUUCCCCUUACUUAGCAAUUAAUGGAGGAGCUCAGUGGCACUUACUGUACCUUUUUUGUUUUCUAAUGGAUGAUGCGGCAUGGAGCAGGGAGGCCUUACUGUACCCCUGUUACUACCAAGUGCAAACGCUGGAUGUUGCACUGCUACGAUUCAGGUCUCUGGUUUGCGGGGCGGAAGCAAUUCUGCUGCCGGCUGAAGGCUUCUCUAAUUAAAAAGCCGAGUUACCUGGAGUUGUUGCUACCAA
Neofelis nebulosa (Clouded leopard) is the source of this 3113-nucleotide long non-coding RNA. RefSeq lists it as uncharacterized. NCBI's taxonomy places the organism in Eukaryota, Metazoa, Chordata, Mammalia, Carnivora, Felidae. The transcript has 5 exons. The record is from RefSeq and is a predicted model, not a curated record.